AAUGAAACAAGAUUCUUGUAUAAAUGCAUAGAAUUAAUUAAAAUACACCCCAAUGUUUUGUUGUUUAAAUCUGAACUGAUAAAACAAAAGAUUAUGUUGAUCACUAGUACUACAAGUACUUUGAUUCUUGAUUGUCUUUAUGGCUUGCAACCAGCAUGAGUUGAAGUCCAUUUUGCUCUACACGCAUAGCAGAAUUCAAAGCUACAUCUGUGGCAUCCCGAUAAGAAAUGUAAACAAUUCCCCUGUUAAUGCUUCAUUUAAUGCUGGAAUGAGAAAAAAAAGAUUAAAUUCUGCCACAAUGCAACAAAGAUGCACAAAGAUUAAAUUCUACACCCACCUGCCACAACAACCGUAUUAUUUGAUGAAUUCUCUCUUGCUAUAUCCUGUUGAAGAAUAGAAUAAAAACAUUUGUGAUUUGUUUCACUACCCAGUUGUCCCUUGUUAAGAGUGGCAUAUAUUUUCCCCCUUUUGUAUACCCAUAUCUUCGAAAGGGAAAUGAAAAGAUUACUUCGAUGUCAUUGUUUAAACCAUUAAUUCUGUAAAAACAUAUAGUAAUUAGAAAUAACUAAUUAGUUUUGCAAACAUAACAAAUCACUAAUUCGGUCCACCAUCUGCAAAACCCCCACUUUGUCCAUAAAAAAAUGCUCAAUACAAAGAUACGAAAUACAAAACUAGAGGCAUACCAUUCACCUGCAAAACCCCCAUCUCAUACCAUUUUAAUUUUGGCCAUGGAAAAAACUUCCCUCCUCCACCACCACCUAUAAGUCCCCCAACCUAAUUUUGUCCAGAAAAAUGGUAACAAUCUUCUCCCACCCACCUGUAAAACCCCCAUUUUCUAAUUCUGGCCGAAAUUAUAAAAAAAUGUUGUGCUAGUAAUCCAAACUAAUUAAAAUUGAGCAUGGUGAAAAGCAUUCCUUGCAUAGUUACUAAAUAAAUAGGGGAUACAGAAACAUCCAAGUGGCUGUAAUUUACCUCUAAUCUUGCUUGCAUGUAGAUACUUCCAUUCAACACACACU
RNAcentral lists this long non-coding RNA (1016 nucleotides) under Olea europaea (common olive). RNAcentral describes it as "long non-coding RNA (OEUR_LNC004606)". Lineage: Eukaryota; Viridiplantae; Streptophyta; Magnoliopsida; Lamiales; Oleaceae. The record is from RNAcentral.